AUUGGACCUUAGCCAGGAAAGCCACAUUUCCACUGUGAGAAGGUCGGGAUUCAAUCAUCCGCCUUCCUCUUGGAUCUAAACCUUGGCUCUGAGAAUUGAAACCGAUCCGGUUCAGUGCACUGUCCGUGCUCACCCCGGGAUCCCGGACGCCCUCACCUCCUCCAGCCAGUGGCGGCGCUCAGAAGAUGUGGUGGCUCUUGAUAUUGACCGUUAUUCGCCCAGGAAUCUGGAUGACCAUUUUUUCAUCUGGGGAUCCGCAAAGCCCACCGACCAGAUGAUCUCAUGGAUCUUGUACUGGACUCCGGGAUCCACUGCGGCGCUCUACUUGGUGCCCGGGACCGACAGGUUCAUUGGUUCCAAGGACUGGACCAGCAAGAAGUUCUCCCUCACCAUAAAGGACCUACAGCGGGUGGAUUCCGCCAGGUAUUACUGUGGCAGCUCCAACACCUACUUUCCCUACAGCACCGACUGGAGCGGAUGCGGAGUUACGCUCACUGUAGACGCCGCCCCUCCCCAGUCCCCGCCUCAGGUGCACUUCCACCAUCCGAGCCCAGAGGACGUUCUCCAGCAGCAGGACAUUGCUUUGCUCUGCGUAGCCGAGGACUUUUACCCCGAGGCGAUCUCCAUUUCCUGGUCAGUGGACGGAGAGGAGGUGGACGCGGGGGUCUCGCAUUCAGCUUCCCUGUUGGGACCCAACGCCACCUACACCAAGAUUAGCAAGCUGAUGACCACCGCUUCCCAGUGGAUCAAGGGCUCCGUUUACACAUGCCACGUGACUCAUGAAACUCUCCCUUCGCCCGUCUCCAAACACGUCAGUAAUGCCGGACAAUACCCGAUGGCGCCCAUGGUUUAUGUUUUGCCACCGAGCUUCGAGGAGAUGGACAUGAAAGAGCAGGCCACCGUGACCUGCCAGGCGGCUGGCUAUUACCCCGCUGAAAUCUCCUUCAGCUGGUUUGCCGACGGCAAUCCGGUGCUCGCGGGCAUCAAAAGCUCCGUGCCGAUCCUGAACGACAACGGUACCUAUAGUUCCCGAAGCGAAUUGGUGACAUCUACCCAUAAGUGGAAACAAGUCUCCGUCUACUCGUGCGAGGUUCAACACAUCUCACUGCCAGAUGGGCUGGUCCGAAGCAUUAAUAAGACAGAGGCAGAAGAAGAAUACCUGCGGCAGCCAACAAUCACCACGCUCAGAGUGCAGGCGGACCGCUCCGUGCGAGACCAGACGGUGACACUCGUCUGCUACGUGUCCGGCUUCUCCCCGGCCGACAUCUACGUGACCUGGAGGACGGAGAGGGGCGUGCAGGAGAUGGGCUGGGUCACCAACUUCCCCGUGGUGUCGGACUCCAGCGGGACUUACAGCACGGCCAGUCAGAUGACCAUCCCCUUGUCGGAUGUGGACCGCUCGCUCACCUACGUGUGCGUGGUGGGACACAAGUCCCUCUCCUUUCCCAUUGAGGAGUGGUUCCAGAUAAGCUGAGGAUCCCUCAGACAGAGAUUCCAAUUGCCUGGAGUCCCCACCGGCCUGAACCAAUUUAACCGGAGUGAUAUUUGUAUUUGCCUUUGGAUGUAUCUUUACCUUAUUUCGCCACUCAAGAUCUACAUUAAUAAAACUCAUCUGUCCCUUUGUGAUCAAACUCAAUAUUCUGAUAAUUAAAAGCAGGCACGUUUGCUCAAUGAACUACUGGCCUCUGAAAAUAACUCGAGAUGUGGCAAGCUUCAAAUAAAUCAUUAAAAGCC
Pristis pectinata (smalltooth sawfish) is the source of this 1734-nucleotide non-coding RNA. NCBI's taxonomy places the organism in Eukaryota, Metazoa, Chordata, Chondrichthyes, Rhinopristiformes, Pristidae. The record is from the annotation of a RefSeq genome assembly.